Non-coding RNA from Corythoichthys intestinalis (scribbled pipefish), 74 nucleotides. Lineage: Eukaryota; Metazoa; Chordata; Actinopteri; Syngnathiformes; Syngnathidae. The record is from the annotation of a RefSeq genome assembly.
GUCCAGGUUAGGUCAGUUGGUAGAGCAUGAGACUCUUAAUCUCCAGGUCGUGGGUUCGAGCCCCACGUUGGGCG